RNAcentral lists this ribosomal RNA (735 nucleotides) under uncultured Atopobium sp. RNAcentral's name for it is "bacterial SSU rRNA". It matches the Rfam family "Bacterial small subunit ribosomal RNA", at positions 28 to 776 of the family's 1533-position model. The record is from RNAcentral. Lineage: Bacteria; Bacillati; Actinomycetota; Coriobacteriia; Coriobacteriales; Atopobiaceae.
GAUGAACGCUGGCGGCGCGCCUAACACAUGCAAGUCGAACGAUUAAAGCACCUUCGGGUGUGUAUAAAGUGGCGAACGGCUGAGUAACACGUGGGCAACCUGCCCCUCUCAUUGGGAUAGCCACGGGAAACCGUGGAUAAUACCGAAUACUUCGGGACUUCCGCAUGGAAGACUCGAGAAAGCUCCGGCGGAGAGGGAUGGGCCCGCGGCCUGUUAGCUUGUUGGUGGGGUAACGGCCUACCAAGGCAAUGAUGGGUAGCUGGGUUGAGAGACCGACCAGCCAGAUUGGGACUGGGACACGGCCCAGACUCCUACGGGAGGCAGCAGUGGGGAAUCUUGCACAAUGGGCGAAAGCCUGAUGCAGCGACGCCGCGUGCGGGAUGAAGGCCUUCGGGUUGUAAACCGCUUUCAGCAGGGACGAGGCGAAAGUGACGGUACCUGCAGAAGAAGCCCCGGCUAACUACGUGCCAGCAGCCGCGGUAAUACGUAGGGGGCAAGCGUUAUCCGGAUUCAUUGGGCGUAAAGCGCUCGUAGGCGGUCUGUUAGGUCGGGAGUUAAAUCCGGGGGCUCAACCCCCGUUCGCUCCCGAUACCGGCAGACUUGAGUUUGGUAGGGGAAGGUGGAAUUCCUAGUGUAGCGGUGGAAUGCGCAGAUAUUAGGAAGAACACCAGUGGCGAAGGCGGCCUUCUGGGCCAUAACUGACGCUGAGGAGCGAAAGCUAGGGGAGCAAACAGG